Solanum tuberosum (potato) is the source of this 514-nucleotide long non-coding RNA. RefSeq lists it as uncharacterized. The transcript has 3 exons. The record is from RefSeq and is a predicted model, not a curated record. Lineage: Eukaryota; Viridiplantae; Streptophyta; Magnoliopsida; Solanales; Solanaceae.
UUGAAAUGGUCUAAAUUUUGUUGCUUUGCCCUAAAACUGUAGAUGUAGAUGAUGGUUGGAAGCACUAGUUGAUCACAACCAUAGAGAAUGAUAGCAAACUUUACAUUUGAAUCUCAAUCUCCUUAAAGAGUGGAUUCUCCCCAUAAGAAUAGGGCACUUUCUACUAUUGUGCCCUAAUGUUCCACAUGAUCCACACUUCUUUUUUCUGCCUUUUCUUGAUGCUUUUAACAAGGAGGAGUGUCUGGAUUGUAUUCUCAUAUAAAUGGGAGGCAACUAAAGAGAAAAAUUGUUCAUCAACCAACGAACACACAAAGUAGUGUAUGAGAGGAUUGAAUUCACAUUCAAAUUGAAGAAGGGAGUAGGGCUGGGAUAUGCUAGCUUGUGUAUAAGAGAGGAUGUUACGGGAGAAGUUUUAAAUAUUUUGUAGCUUUAGGUUUUUUUCCCUGCAUAGAAGUGUUUCUUGUUGUAAUACCAAAAUUACCCCUGACAGCAGUAAGUGAUCUGUUUAAAUUGA